Molecule: ribosomal RNA, 397 nt
Filed under: uncultured bacterium
Lineage: Bacteria
Description: bacterial SSU rRNA
Rfam family: Bacterial small subunit ribosomal RNA
Source: RNAcentral
UGGGGAAUAUUGCACAAUGGGCGAAAGCCUGAUGCAGCAACGCCGCGUGAGGGAAGACGGUUUUCGGAUUGUAAACCUUUGUCCUCAGUGAAGAUAAUGACGGUAGCUGAGGAGGAAGCCACGGCUAACUACGUGCCAGCAGCCGCGGUAAUACGUAGGUGGCAAGCGUUGUCCGGAAUUACUGGGUGUAAAGGGAGCGCAGGCGGGAGAGCAAGUCAGUGGUGAAAUGCAUGGGCUUAACCCAUGAACUGCCAUUGAAACUGUUUUUCUUGAGUGGAUCAGAGGCAAGCGGAAUUCCGAGUGUAGCGGUGAAAUGCGUAGAUAUUCGGAGGAACACCAGUGGCGAAGGCGGCUUGCUGGGGUCUAACUGACGCUGAGGCUCGAAAGUGUGGGGAGC